CAGUCGCCACGGUAAUACGAAGGGUGCAAGCGUUAAUCGGAAUUACUGGGCGUAAAGCGUGCGUAGGCGGUUUGUUAAGUCUGUUGUGAAAUCCCCGGGCUCAACCUGGGAAUGGCAAUGGAUACUGGCAAGCUAGAGUGUGUCAGAGGAUGGUGGAAUUCCCGGUGUAGCGGUGAAAUGCGUAGAGAUCGGGAGGAACAUCAGUGGCGAAGGCGGCCAUCUGGGACAACACUGACGCUGAGGCACGAAAGCGUGGGGAGCAAACAGGAUUAGAUACCCGUGUAGUCCCUGUCUCUUAUAA
Molecule: ribosomal RNA, 301 nt
Filed under: uncultured bacterium
Lineage: Bacteria
Description: partial 16S ribosomal RNA
Rfam family: Bacterial small subunit ribosomal RNA
Source: RNAcentral